GACGAACGCUGGCGGCGUGCUUAACACAUGCGAGUCGAACGGAAAGGCCCUGCUUUUGUGGGGUGCUCGAGUGGCGAACGGGUGAGUAACACGUGAGUAACCUGCCCUUGACUUUGGGAUAACUUCAGGAAACUGGGGCUAAUACCGGAUAGGAGCUCCUGCUGCAUGGUGGGGGUUGGAAAGUUUCGGCGGUUGGGGAUGGACUCGCGGCUUAUCAGCUUGUUGGUGGGGUAGUGGCUUACCAAGGCUUUGACGGGUAGCCGGCCUGAGAGGGUGACCGGCCACAUUGGGACUGAGAUACGGCCCAGACUCCUACGGGAGGCAGUAGGGGGGAAUAUUGCACAAUGGGCGGAAGCCUGAUGCAGCAACGCCGCGUGCGGGAUGACGGCCUUCGGGUUGUAAACCGCUUUCGCCUGUGACGAAGCGUGAGUGACGGUAAUGGGUAAAGAAGCACCGGCUAACUACGUG
This 468-nucleotide ribosomal RNA is filed under the name uncultured bacterium. Its description in RNAcentral is "partial 16S ribosomal RNA". It matches the Rfam family "Bacterial small subunit ribosomal RNA", at positions 28 to 507 of the family's 1533-position model. The record is from RNAcentral.